Molecule: ribosomal RNA, 401 nt
Filed under: uncultured bacterium
Lineage: Bacteria
Description: bacterial SSU rRNA
Rfam family: Bacterial small subunit ribosomal RNA
Source: RNAcentral
AACGAACGCUGGCGGCAUGCCUAACACAUGCAAGUCGAACGAGACCUUCGGGUCUAGUGGCGCACGGGUGCGUAACGCGUGGAAUCUGCCCUGGGGUACGGGAAUAACAGUGAGAAUUACUGCUAAUACCGUAUGAUGACGUAAGUCCAAAGAUUUAUCGCCCUGGGAUGAGCCCGCGUAGGAUUAGCUUGUUGGUGAGGUAAAAGCUCACCAAGGCGACGAUCCUUAGCUGGUCUGAGAGGAUGAUCAGCCACACUGGGACUGAGACACGGCCCAGACUCCUACGGGAGGCAGCAGUGGGGAAUAUUGGACAAUGGGCGAAAGCCUGAUCCAGCAAUGCCGCGUGAGUGAUGAAGGCCUUAGGUGUAAAGACUCUUUACCCGGGUAAGAUAAUGACUGUA